Tribolium castaneum (red flour beetle) is the source of this 5212-nucleotide long non-coding RNA. RefSeq lists it as uncharacterized. Lineage: Eukaryota; Metazoa; Arthropoda; Insecta; Coleoptera; Tenebrionidae. The record is from RefSeq and is a predicted model, not a curated record. The transcript has 4 exons.
CUUUUUCCACAGUCUCUGCUCUAAUAUCCGGAAGAGCUUCACAUUCUUGUCAGAUAAUCCAUGAUUGUUAGGAUGUAUUUGUGCCCGUGACUUGUCAAAUUAAGUGGUCGUACGAUGUCCAUAGAAACAAGUCCAAAAGUGCAUGAUGGUACUGGUACAGUUUGAAGUUCUGACGGUUUUUGUGGGUGUUUUUUUCUAAUGUUACAUGAGUGGCAUACUUUACAAUAUUUUCGGAUUACUUGGGUCAUUCCCCUCUAAUAGCUGUUUCGUUUAACGAGUUCUAUGGUCUUCUUUCUGUCACCAUGUGCCAUAAAGUUGAAUCGUGAUUCAGCUGAAUUUUUCUCUGCAUACGUUUUGGUACUAUGAAUUUAUCUUGUCGUUUGUCUCCUGCUCGUUGUUUGUAGCAAAGUACGUUUGGUGUCUUACAGAAUCUUUCCUGUUGUGAUUAAACCUAAACUUCAAAGUCAUCUCGAUUUUUCAAAGUUUCUUCAAGAUCAUAGAUAAUUGGUGCACAUUCUGGGUAUGGUUUAUCUUGGUCAAUCAAAUUUACAGUCAACUCGUCUUCAGGGCAACGGAGUCGUGUAAAGUCACCAACGCGAUGUCGUUUUCCUGGUCUAUAUUAUAAGUCGAAGUCAUAUUCUGCGAGACUCAAGGGCCCAUCUUACAAGUCUUGAACUUGGAUUUCGGAUGGUUACGAGAUAUUUCAACGGUAGGUGGUCAGUAACGAUAGUGAAUAUUGGUCCCGUUAAAUAAUUUCGGAAGUACUUUUGCUGGCCAUACGUAGAUAAAGCUUCGCGUUUUAUGGUACUGUAUCGAGUCUCAGCAUCAUUUAAAAGAUAACUAGCGUAACAGACUAAAUGUUCAAUUUCAUAUUGUUGUGACAGCAUGGCACUGAUUGCAUUCAAUUCCAGAAGCGUGUAUUAAAAGCCUUAGUUAGCUUGUUUUUCUAUCCUUUUUAGUGAGUUCCGUUAGUGGCUUCACUAUUUCAGGAAUAAAUCUUCUAUAAAAACCACAAAGUCCCAAAAAGGAUCUAAUUUCCUUUGGAUUUCUUGAUAUAGUAGAAGUCUCUACAAUUCACGUUUUCUCUGGGUCUGUGUUUACUCCAUCAGUGGUUAUAAUAAGUCCCAAAUACUUUGCUUUCUUUAUAUAGAAAUUGCAGUUUGUCGGAUUUAAUUUUUAAAUUGGCUUCUCUCAUCGUGUCAAAAACGUUUCUGGAGUUUUUCUGGAUGUUUUUUCUCAAGGUCCCAAGAGCACUGAAUACUAUCACAUCAUUGAGGUACACUAGGCAUUCAGCUCCAACAAGUCUUAGAAAGACUGAGUACAUCAGUCUAUGCCAUGUGCUUGGUGCAUUUCUCAGUCCCAUUCUUUUGAAUUUAUAGUGACUUGUGGGUGUGCUAAAAGCACUGAUUUCUCGAGCGUCUGGGUGUAGGUAGUUCAACUUCGAAAUAACCGCUAGCCAUAUCCAUUAUGGAACAAAACAUGCUCCUGACAACUGAUCAACGGUCUCCUGAAGAACCGACAGGUGAAAGAAAUCCGUUUUUGUUAUCCUUUUUAAUUCUAUAUAGUCUGCACAAUCGAAAUUCCGGUUCCUCUCCUGGCUGGCAACUUUAACAACGAAACGGACAGUGAUGGGAGUGAUACCAGUAAUGGCAUCCAUACUGCUAAUGAGUUUCUUAGUGAAUCAGAUGAAGAGGGGCCGAUCAGGUCAGCUGGCAGAAGGGGUAGUAAUGACUUUGGUCAUCCUAAUAGCGUACCCGACAUUAGCCCCUGUCCGUCGUGGUAGUAGAAUUUAGGACUCCUUGGACUUUUUGUAAUUCUAGAUAGGCCAAUCAAGUAUAGACAAUUUACGGGCCACGUUGAAUCCAGGAGAAAACAGAAGACGGAAAAGGCUGGAAAACUCCCAAGGAAGUUUUUCGUUGGAAACAACGGAAUGAUAAUAGGAUAUAACAUUUGCCAGAUUGAUGUAAUGGGAAUUUAUGAAGGGGUAGUAAUCAACUUAAUCGGAGUUUUUUUGGUGGCUCUGGGAUACCCCACCUAGGGAAUAAUUCUUCUUCUGGUUUUUGGAAUGUUCAAAAAGAAAAGAGAAAUGAGGGAGGAGUCCUUAUUCAAUCACCCAGGCGAGAUUAAACUGGUUGAGUUCUAUUAAGACCUUAUUCUCGGAAGACUGCACGUCGGAUGGGAGCUUUAAUUACUAGGGAGUUUUGCACAUCUAGAAACACGUAACCAGAAGAGAAGAACUAGAACAUGAAAGAGGAGAACUUCUGAGUUACAUCUUCAGCGAUCCUCUUUUAGACGUGGCUAAAUGCUAUCGGCCGAGACCUAGGAGGUGGUGGCUUACGCCACGUUGACCCUAGAUGGAAUUUGUGAAACGACUGUUAGGUCCAUAUUGGAGAAGAUUGACUGUCCCAACGGCACCCUACUUAUGGCUAUGAAUAUUGUAUAUCUACCGGUGAGAAUGAGUGGAGCCCUCAUCUAUGUUAUUCGAAUAAGAGAGUUCCCGUUGGAUUGGUUGGGUAUUGGUGCUUUAUUGGGGACGGUGUGUUUAGCAACUUCCUUGUAAGGGAGCCACAGGAAGUUGUCGGACUAGAGAAGGAGUUGAAAAUAGGAAGAUACUACCUCAGAAGACAUUGCGUGCGGUUCUGGUAAAACUAGAUGAAUAAUCCCAAACUGGUGCAGGUCAAGCAAGAAAAGCGUAGAUUGUGUAUGUUGGCCCCGACCAGAGUUAUCGCCCGAGAAAUGGGAGGCAUCGGCUUCCUCGUGAGAAGAAUACUCCAGUCACAUCCCUGUGUAAAAGAUUGCUCAAAAAAGGAGAAGGCUUUGCUGAGAGAAGGAAGAUGGGCAUGAUUGGAAUAAGUGCAACCACCUUCGACAGAACGAGACGAGAGAGCAACUUCUCAAUAACCAAUUACGAGGAGAACGAGAACAAUUAUCUCGAUGAUCUUGAAAGUGAGAAGAAAACAAUGAUAUUUGUUGAAAACAGAAAAAGAGUGGAUGACAAAUUAAAAUUGGACAUUUUGGAGAGGUACCCCGGAACGGAGGUGUCGAUAUUUAGUCGAAGCACUUAUGAGGCAAACUAUAGGAGAGCUCAGGAGAUGAAUUAGUCAAAACAAUGCCGAAAAAAUAAACUUGAAAAAACAGUCGGGGCUCCGAAAGAAGAUAAAGUUGGAGGAAGAGGAGGAAGAUCACGCAGAAGAUCGAAAGAGCGUGAAAAAGCACAUCCUAGAAGUGGAGGACGUCCAGGACAUCGACGAUAUACGCUGGGGAAAAAUAUUAACCGCUAUUAUUAGGGAGUCAAGUUAGGUAACUAAGAGUUUGCUUGAGAAUUUACGUUAAUAAUGCGCGUAUUAUUAAAUAAAUGCUCUUGCAAUACUCAACAACAGAAAAGUUAAAUUAAAAAAAAGGGGUGCUAUCAACGUGCUUAGAGUGGUAACCACACUAAGUUUUUGACAUGAUGCAAAAAAAACACUAACAAAAAAUCACUAUUAAUAAAAGUAACAUGACGUUAGCUAAGAUUGAUUAGGGUAAACUUAGUUUCUGUUAAAUGUUUAGCAUCAAUGUAAAAGUAGCACUUAAAAUUUUUUCAUUAUAAUUUCUAAAAAGUUAAUAAUAACUUUGUGUUCUCGGUACACGACAUCAACUUUGGCAACGGUCAACUCCACUGCUGGGAGACAAAGGUAUCAAAUGACCCAACGACACUAGAAGCGUACGCACAUGACCACACUCAACAAAAAGUGGAUUACGACACUGACUACAAAAGGGUUUCGAGAUCCAGACAAAAACGUCAAAAAAGGAUCUCCCAGGAGACUAUGAUCACCGAUAAGCCAGUCCCAAAAUCUAAAUACCAGGACCCAAAAACCAUGACCUUUCGGCCACACCGAAAUUCUGUACUCAAACCUAGGACCCGUUACUAUCCGCCACGUAUUUACAAGUCUGCCAGAAACCUACCCGUUGAGGAAAGUGUGGUGACAACAAACACUACUUCUUCUGGUGACUAAAAGUACUAAGUGCGUCAAGUUCUUGUCAUGUAACUGCAAUAAAACUGUACCUACAUAAACGAAAUUUUUGAACCCAGCAGCUGACCUUAUGUCUUGUCGUAUACAAAUAUUGUUAUUACUUUCGGGAUAUUGUGUUUGUAUAUUUUGUACCCAACAUUAAAUUCUUGCCAUUUUGUAUUAGGUUAAGUUAGUUUAAGGUAAUACAAUCCCAGCAGGGAUUGUCGCCCGGGGGGGAGGGUGAUGUCGGGAGGUACGCGAGGAUGAGGGAUUACUCUCGGUGAGACCGAGGAGAGACGCCCUGUUUCCAAAAACAAACAAUGCGACAGGACCUGUGGGGUUGGAAACUACUUGAGGGCGGCUGUACCGUCUUGGAAGAAAACCAUAAAGUUGAGUCGGGUUGUUACAUUUGACGAAACAAGCUGUUAAUUAUUAUUCCGAAUAAACUGAUAUUUUAGGCCUCUGGCUUUUAUUUUAGUUUAGUGUAACCGUUCGGGGGUCUGGCCUUGUCAAAAUAUUUAGUUUUGAGGUGAUCGUCUAGAGAUUGUUUGGAAGACCGCUACGUUGUCGUGUAGAUUUGGAGAUUCGUUAUUUCAAGCACUGUGUGUCUGGGAAAAGAAAACGCAGAGUUCGGCCCAAAAUGUUUAUUCACUAAAUUUACAGUCAUUGGUGAUAGUAUGCAACACGUUAUACAAUUCAGAACUAAUCGAGUGUUGAAUCUCGGAGAACUGAGCGGGAAAUUUGAAUGCAAAGUUGAUUACUCGGACCCAACCUGGUGAUUCUAGAAAGACGGUUGCAAGAGGGACUCCCAGAGGUUCCGACCACCGCGUGCUCUCCAUUCCCUAACCUUGGGUAUACAUCUCUCCCCAAGCCCCGGGGGAAAAGCUAGGCUCUCUUUUGAAUUGGCAUGUUUUGUAGUUGGGCCAUUGCACUCACUGGGACUGCCGAGGUCUUUUUCCCUAGUGUGAUGGCAAGUUCCAAAGGGAGACAGAAAGAUAGUUACUACUCAAACAUGCAGCCAAAUUAAGCCUUCGUAAUCAACAGUUUGUUUUAAUUAAGCAAAAGAGCUCUCGUCAAAUUCAACACGUACAUAUCACGUGCUCCUAACUAAACUUAAGUAUUUUUACAGUAAGCGAAAGUCUGGUAAAAUAAAUGACAUUAAAGGAUUAAGUUUGCGCUCUGUGGAAAAAAGAAUAAUUAACGCUCUGUAAAAGAAAAGA